CCAAUAGCGUAUAUUAAAGUUGUUGCAGUUAAAAAGCUCGUAGUUGAAUUUCGGGAUCAGUUCGCUGGUCGUGCCUCUGGUAUGUACUGGUGUUACUGGUUCCUCCCUUCUGAAGAACUGUCAUGUCAUUUAUUUGGUGUGGCGGGGAAUCAGGACUGUUACUUUGAAAAAAUUAGAGUGUUUAAAGCAGGCUCGCGCUUGAAUACAUUAGCAUGGAAUAAUGAAAUAGGACGUUUGAUCCUAUUUUGUUGGUUUCUAGGAUUGACGUAAUGAUUAAUAGGGAUAGUUGGGGGCAUUAGUAUUCAAUUGUCAGAGGUGAAAUUCUUGGAUUUAUUGAAGACUAACUACUGCGAAAGCAUUUGCCAAGGAUGUUUUCAUUAAUCAAGAACGAAAGUUAGGGGAUCGAAGACGAUCAGAUACCGUCGUAGUCUUAACCAUAAACUAUGCCGACUAGGGAUCGGAUGAUGUUAAUUUUUUAAUGACUCAUUCGGCGCCUUACG
This 500-nucleotide ribosomal RNA is filed under the name uncultured Glomeromycotina. Its description in RNAcentral is "partial small subunit ribosomal RNA". It matches the Rfam family "Eukaryotic small subunit ribosomal RNA", at positions 591 to 1092 of the family's 1831-position model. The record is from RNAcentral. Lineage: Eukaryota; Fungi; Glomeromycota.